GGAGCUGGAGUUGUGGUUGAAGCUAAUUUGUUUAGUGAGAGAUGGACUUCUUGUCUAGUACUAUACUAUUGUGUCUGUGCUUUAUCUCCUGGUUCUUGAUCCAAGCCCUCCAUAGAAGAACCAGAGUUAGGCUUCCACCAGGACCAAAGCCAUUUCCAUUGGUUGGAAAUCUCUUUGAGAUUGGAGACAAACCUCAUAUCUCUUUGACCAACCUCUCACAACACUAUGGCUCAAUUAUGUCUUUGAAACUAGGCCAGAUAACUACUAUUGUAGUUUCUUCACCAUCCAUGGCCAAAGAAAUCCUCCGAAUCCAUGACCAAUUGUUCUGCAACAGAACAAUCCCAGAUGCAAUUCAAGCCUUUGCAGACUACAGCUUGCCGUGGAUGCCGGUAUCACCAAGGUGGAGAAAUUUUCGGAAAAUAUGCACCUCCCAACUCUUUGCCACAAGAGUUCUUGAUGCCAACCAAGAAAACCGGAGAGCGAAAGUGCAUGAGCUCAUAGCUAGUGUCAAUGACUGCACGGCAAAGGGUUUGGCAGUAGAUAUUGGAAAGGCUGCUUUCAAAACUUCACUCAAUUUGCUGUCAAGAACUAUUUUCUCAGUGGAUUUGGCAGAUGAUGACUCGAGUAGCAGCAACGAGAUCACUAAAGAGUUCAAGAAGAUUUUCUACUGGUAUGCUAGAGGAGGCUGGGAAACCGAAUUUAGGGGACUUUUUUCCCUGUGCUUAAGAAGAUUGAUCCCCAAGGCAGAAGGCGGCGCUUUACGAAUCACUAUAACAAGAUGUUAGGCUUAUUUGAAUCAGUGAUCAAACAAAGACUGGAAUUUAGAAAAGGGGAUGAUUAUGUUGCAAGUAAUGAUAUGUUGGAUACUCUUAUAGACCUCAGAGAAGAGGAAAAUGAGGAGGAUUUGAACAACCCCAAAGUUAUUGAACAUUUGUUAUCGGCUCUAUUUGUUGCAGGCACAGAAACAACUUCAGUCACAUUGGAAUGGGCAAUGGCGGAGCUACUACACAACCCAAAGUGCCUCUGUAAAGCUCAAGAAGAGCUGGAUCAAAUGAUUGGAAAAGGAAAACCAAUUGAGGAAUCCAACAUUGCUAGACUCCCUUACUUACAAGCAAUUAUCAAGGAAACUUUCCGCCUGCGCCCGGUGGCUCCAUUGCUUCUUCCACGAAAAGCUGAAACAGAUGUAGAAAUCGGGGGCUACAUUGUCCCAAAGGGUGCACAAGUUCUAGUUAAUAUUUGGGCCAUAGGCAGAGACCCCAGCAUUUGGGACAAUCCAAACUCUUUUAUGCCAGAGAGGUUCCUAGGAUCAGACAACCAAAUUGAUGUUAUGGGAAAUAACUUUGAGCUUAUUCCAUUUGGUGGUGGGAGGAGAAUCUGUCCAGGUUUGCCAUUGGCAAUGAGAAUGUUGCACUUGGUGUUGGGGUCACUCAUUAACUGCUUUGAUUGGAAGCUUGAAGAUGGAGUUCUACCUGAGACUAUGAACUUGGAAGACAAGUUUAGCAUCACUUUACAAAUGGCUCAGCCUCUCAAGGCUGUUCCAAAGGAAAUUGUAAUGGAAUGAUGUAAAAUAACUGUAGGCAUGCAUAAUGAGGUAAACAGCUAUCAGAUUUGAUCAACUUAGUGUAGGCUGCCUUAGAGACAGUUCCUUUCUAUAUAUUCCUUUUCCCCUUGUUUUUAUUUGCUUAUAAAAAAAAAUCAGGUACUAUCUUAUAUA
Molecule: RNA transcript, 1714 nt
Organism: Fragaria vesca subsp. vesca
Lineage: Eukaryota; Viridiplantae; Streptophyta; Magnoliopsida; Rosales; Rosaceae
Gene name: geraniol 8-hydroxylase-like
Exons: 2
Source: RefSeq, a predicted model, not a curated record